RNAcentral lists this ribosomal RNA (460 nucleotides) under uncultured bacterium. RNAcentral's name for it is "partial 16S ribosomal RNA". It matches the Rfam family "Bacterial small subunit ribosomal RNA", at positions 338 to 795 of the family's 1533-position model. The record is from RNAcentral.
CCUACGGGGGGCAGCAGUGAGGAAUAUUGGUCAAUGGACGAGAGUCUGAACCAGCCAAGUAGCGUGAAGGAUGACUGCCCUAUGGGUUGUAAACUUCUUUUAUAUGGGAAUAAAAUGUUCCACGUGUGGGAUUUUGUAUGUACCAUAUGAAUAAGGAUCGGCUAACUCCGUGCCAGCAGCCGCGGUAAUACGGAGGAUCCGAGCGUUAUCCGGAUUUAUUGGGUUUAAAGGGAGUGUAGGUGGGUUGGUAAGUCAGUUGUGAAAUUUUGCGGCUCAACCGUAGAAUUGCAGUUGAAACUGGCAGUCUUGAGUACAGUAGAGGUCGGCGGAAUUCGUGGUGUAGCGGUGAAAUGCUUAGAUAUCACGAAGAACUCCGAUUGCGAAGGCAGCUCACUGGACUGCAACUGACACUGAGGCUCGAAAGUGUGGGUAUCAAACAGGAUUAGAUACCCCUGUAGUC